GGGUUGUGAGGUUAAGCGACUAAGCGUACACGGUGGAUGCCCUGGCAGUCAGAGGCGAUGAAGGGCGUGCUAAUCUGCGAUAAGCGCCGGUAAGGUGAUAUGAACCGUUAUAACCGGCGAUACCCGAAUGGGGAAACCCAGUGUGACUCGUCACACUAUCAUUAACUGAAUCCAUAGGUUAAUGAGGCGAACCGGGGGAACUGAAACAUCUAAGUACCCCGAGGAAAAGAAAUCAACCGAGAUUCCCCCAGUAGCGGCGAGCGAACGGGGAGGAGCCCAGAGCCUGAAUCAGCAUGUGUGUUAGUGGAAGCGUCUGGAAAGGCGCGCGAUACAGGGUGACAGCCCCGUACACAAAAGCGCAUGUGCUGUGAGCUCGAUGAGUAGGGCGGGACACGUGGUAUCCUGUCUGAAUAUGGGGGGACCAUCCUCCAAGGCUAAAUACUCCUGACUGACCGAUAGUGAACCAGUACCGUGAGGGAAAGGCGAAAAGAACCCCGGCGAGGGGAGUGAAAAAGAACCUGAAACCGUGUACGUACAAGCAGUGGGAGCACAGGUUUACCUGUGUGACUGCGUACCUUUUGUAUAAUGGGUCAGCGACUUAUAUUCUGUAGCAAGGUUAACCGAAUAGGGGAGCCGGAGGGAAACCGAGUCUUAAUUGGGCGUUAAGUUGCAGGGUAUAGACCCGAAACCCGGUGAUCUAGCCAUGGGCAGGUUGAAGGUUGGGUAACACUAACUGGAGGACCGAACCGACUAAUGUUGAAAAAUUAGCGGAUGACCUGUGGCUGGGGGUGAAAGGCCAAUCAAACCGGGAGAUAGCUGGUUCUCCCCGAAAGCUAUUUAGGUAGCGCCUCGUGAAUUCAUCUCCGGGGGUAGAGCACUGUUUCGGCUAGGGGGCCAUCCCGGCUUACCAACCCGAUGCAAACUGCGAAUACCGGAGAAUGUUAUCACGGGAGACACACGGCGGGUGCUAACGUCCGUCGUGAAGAGGGAAACAACCCAGACCGCCAGCUAAGGUCCCAAAGUCAUGGUUAAGUGGGAAACGAUGUGGGAAGGCCCAGACAGCCAGGAUGUUGGCUUAGAAGCAGCCAUCAUUUAAAGAAAGCGUAAUAGCUCACUGGUCGAGUCGGCCUGCGCGGAAGAUGUAACGGGGCUAAACCAUGCACCGAAGCUGCGGCAGCGAACGUAUCACUUAAAGCGAUUCAGCGGGUUACGAUUGACGGAGCGAAGCGACGUCAAAGCGUAUACAAAGUCGAGUCGGUUUAAGGAUACGUUCGUUGGGUAGGGGAGCGUUCUGUAAGCCUGUGAAGGUGGCCUGUGAGGGUUGCUGGAGGUAUCAGAAGUGCGAAUGCUGACAUAAGUAACGAUAAAGCGGGUGAAAAGCCCGCUCGCCGGAAGACCAAGGGUUCCUGUCCAACGUUAAUCGGGGCAGGGUGAGUCGACCCCUAAGGCGAGGCCGAAAGGCGUAGUCGAUGGGAAACGGGUUAAUAUUCCCGUACUUGGUGUUACUGCGAAGGGGGGACGGAGAAGGCUAUGUUGGCCGGGCGACGGUUGUCCCGGUUUAAGCGUGUAGGUGUGUGUUCCAGGUAAAUCCGGUUCACUUUAACACUGAGGCGUGACGACGAGGCACUACGGUGCUGAAGCAACAAAUGCCCUGCUUCCAGGAAAAGCCUCUAAGCAUCAGGUAACAUCAAAUCGUACCCCAAACCGACACAGGUGGUCAGGUAGAGAAUACCAAGGCGCUUGAGAGAACUCGGGUGAAGGAACUAGGCAAAAUGGUGCCGUAACUUCGGGAGAAGGCACGCUGACACGUAGGUGAAGUGAUUUACUCAUGGAGCUGAAGUCAGUCGAAGAUACCAGCUGGCUGCAACUGUUUAUUAAAAACACAGCACUGUGCAAACACGAAAGUGGACGUAUACGGUGUGACGCCUGCCCGGUGCCGGAAGGUUAAUUGAUGGGGUCAGCGCAAGCGAAGCUCCUGAUCGAAGCCCCGGUAAACGGCGGCCGUAACUAUAACGGUCCUAAGGUAGCGAAAUUCCUUGUCGGGUAAGUUCCGACCUGCACGAAUGGCGUAAUGAUGGCCAGGCUGUCUCCACCCGAGACUCAGUGAAAUUGAACUCGCUGUGAAGAUGCAGUGUACCCGCGGCAAGACGGAAAGACCCCGUGAACCUUUACUAUAGCUUGACACUGAACAUUGAGCCUUGAUGUGUAGGAUAGGUGGGAGGCUUUGAAGUGUGGACGCCAGUCUGCAUGGAGCCGACCUUGAAAUACCACCCUUUAAUGUUUGAUGUUCUAACGUGGACCCGUAAUCCGGGUUGCGGACAGUGUCUGGUGGGUAGUUUGACUGGGGCGGUCUCCUCCUAAAGAGUAACGGAGGAGCACGAAGGUUGGCUAAUCCUGGUCGGACAUCAGGAGGUUAGUGCAAUGGCAUAAGCCAGCUUGACUGCGAGCGUGACGGCGCGAGCAGGUGCGAAAGCAGGUCAUAGUGAUCCGGUGGUUCUGAAUGGAAGGGCCAUCGCUCAACGGAUAAAAGGUACUCCGGGGAUAACAGGCUGAUACCGCCCAAGAGUUCAUAUCGACGGCGGUGUUUGGCACCUCGAUGUCGGCUCAUCACAUCCUGGGGCUGAAGUAGGUCCCAAGGGUAUGGCUGUUCGCCAUUUAAAGUGGUACGCGAGCUGGGUUUAGAACGUCGUGAGACAGUUCGGUCCCUAUCUGCCGUGGGCGCUGGAGAACUGAGGGGGGCUGCUCCUAGUACGAGAGGACCGGAGUGGACGCAUCACUGGUGUUCGGGUUGUCAUGCCAAUGGCACUGCCCGGUAGCUAAAUGCGGAAGAGAUAAGUGCUGAAAGCAUCUAAGCACGAAACUUGCCCCGAGAUGAGUUCUCCCUGAGACUUUAAGUCUCCUGAAGGAACGUUGAAGACGACGACGUUGAUAGGCCGGGUGUGUAAGCGCAGCGAUGCGUUGAGCUAACCGGUACUAAUGAACCGUGAGGCUUAACCUUACAACGCCGAAG
Molecule: ribosomal RNA, 3010 nt
Filed under: Salmonella enterica subsp. enterica serovar Newport
Lineage: Bacteria; Pseudomonadati; Pseudomonadota; Gammaproteobacteria; Enterobacterales; Enterobacteriaceae
Also listed under: 12 other names
Description: bacterial LSU rRNA
Rfam family: Bacterial large subunit ribosomal RNA
Source: RNAcentral